AAUGUCUGGGAAACUGCCCGAUGGAGGGGGAUAACUACCGGAAACGGUAGCUAAUACCGCAUAACGUCGCAAGACCAAAGAGGGGGACCUUCGGGCCUCUUGCCAUCGGAUGUGCCCAGAUGGGAUUAGCUAGUGGGUGGGGUAACGGCUCACCUAGGCGACGAUCCCUAGCUGGUCUGAGAGGAUGACCAGCCACACUGGAACUGAGACACGGCCCAGACUCCUACGGGAGGCAGCAGUGGGGAAUUUUGGACAAUGGGCGAAAGCCUGAUCCAGCAAUGCCGCGUGCAGGAUGAAGGCCUUCGGGUUGUAAACUGCUUUUGUACGGAACGAAAAGUCUCGGGAUAAUACCCUGGGACCAUGACGGUACCGUAAGAAUAAGCACCGGCUAACUACGUGCCAGCAGCCGCGGUAAUACGUAGGGUGCAAGCGUUAAUCGGAAUUACUGGGCGUAAAGCGUGCGCAGGCGGUUAUAUAAGACAGAUGUGAAAUCCCCGGGCUCAACCUGGGAACUGCAUUUGUGACUGUAUAGCUAGAGUACGGUAGAGGGGGAUGGAAUUCCGCGUGUAGCAGUGAAAUGCGUAGAUAUGCGGAGG
This 596-nucleotide ribosomal RNA is filed under the name uncultured bacterium. RNAcentral describes it as "bacterial SSU rRNA". It matches the Rfam family "Bacterial small subunit ribosomal RNA", at positions 112 to 704 of the family's 1533-position model. The record is from RNAcentral.